Molecule: non-coding RNA, 1468 nt
Organism: Theobroma umbraticum
Lineage: Eukaryota; Viridiplantae; Streptophyta; Magnoliopsida; Malvales; Malvaceae
Source: RefSeq, a predicted model, not a curated record
ACACUGUCCCGUUCCACUUCUCUUCUUCUCUCCUUAUUGUCCCAAUUUUCCCUUUGUCCCAAAAGUUCCUUAAACCCUAGCCCUAAUCUCUUCAUCCCCUUUCUUUCUGGUAAAUGCCCUAAAAGAUUUUCCCAAUCUCCAUGCUCUAACAAAAGAAAAAAAAUCCCCUCGCACCCCAAAAAAGGAGACGGAAAAAAUGAUUCAUUUAAUUCCUUCCGUAUUUCUUUACUUCAUUUUCAUCUUCACGAUUGUGAACGGCGAGCAGGAUUCUAUUUACGAGAUCCUAAAGGCUCAUGGCCUGCCCAUGGGGCUACUUCCGAAGGGGAUAACCCAAUUUGACUUCGACGAUACGGGCCGGUUCGAGGUUCAUUUGGAUCAGGCCUGUAAUGCCAAGUUUGAAAGCGAGUUGCAUUACGAUCGGAAUGUGUCAGGGACUUUGAGUUACGGGCAGAUCGGGGCGUUGUCAGGGAUUACGGCGCAAGAAUUGUUUCUUUGGUUCCCGGUUAAAGGGAUCCGGGUCGAUAUUCCGAGCUCGGGUCUUAUUUAUUUUGACGUCGGUGUCGUUUUUAAGCAAUUUUCUUUGUCGUUGUUCGAAACGCCAAGGGAUUGUAUGGCGGUUUUGGAUUUUGAACCGGGUAAUUCAAUUCGAGAUCGCAAGUUUGUAGCUGAAGCAAUCGCCAAGAGUCUACCUGCGAAGCUACGAUAUGAGUUCGUUCAGGAAAGUUUUGGGAGGAAUGAGAUUUAGAAAGGUGGAGAAAAGAAGUGCAAUAGCUCAAUCAGUUUAGCUCUCAAAGGUUUUUUUGGGGUCAGGUCCCCACGCUGUAAAUUUUCGUCGGAGAGUCUGCUCUAGGAGGUCGUUACGCUUCCAUCCUGUGUGCUUCGCUUGCGUUUUUUCUUAUUCUAUAUAGUGCAGAGUCGUCCACAUGCCUAGUCCAGCGGCUCCUGUCUAUGUGAGGAUGGCCAGUGACGCGGAAAUGGAAGGUUGGGAAGCUAUAUUUUCGAUGAUAAUCAUGGUUGGUUUACCCUAUGGAAGAUAAAAGGAGAUGGGAGCAUUUGGUCGGCGAUUUCAGGGUUGUCAAAACUUAGCAAAGUUAGUGAACUUUGGGUAUCUACCGAAUGGCGGGUGAUGCCUUAUGUUUAUUUUCUACACAUGCAAUGAAGCAGUGAGAGGCUUUCAAAGUAGCUGUUUUAGUAUCUAAGUUAUUAGAUUUUGGAUUUGUUAGUAUCCAGAAUCAGAGAGUCACUGCAUACACGGUAUACUUCAGUACAAGGUUCUGUAGCUUGGAGCUUGGUGAGAUUUUCUGAGUGUAUUAAGUGUAUAAUUUGUCUCUUCUUCAUCCUUAAUUGUCAAUUUCCCCUUUAUGUAAAAGCAUGUAGAUUGUCAUAUGAAAUACUGUCUGGAUGUAUGCCAAUCUUAUAAGCAGUCAUUUCUUGGCCUUGAAUAACUUGACAGUGAUAUGUUGAACAA